UUCAACACAAAUAACAAGCAACUGUCAACAAUUCUUUCUUUUCUUUUAAUGUUGGUUCAUCAACACCAACGGUCAAUUUGAACAAAGACUUGUAGGGAUAAUUAUUUGAUAAACUAUGGCUCUCUCUCUCUUUUUUUUCUUUUUUCUUUUGGGUUAGAUUAUGUAAACAGUUCAUUUUUUACCUCUUCCUUCAAAGAUCGUUCUCGAUACAAAGUCAGACAAUUGAGUCAUGUCAUUACCACCACCACCAUCUCUCAGUGUAUUGGACACAAACAAUCUUUUCUCAUCACAAUUAAAAAAGAAUAUAAAGUUGAUAUUUCAAACCAUAUUUGUCUCUUUGUUUGUAAUUUUCUCACGCCAUCACAUGUGGAGGUGAUAUUUGUUUGUACAAAUUUCUCACGUUAUUUGGGUGUAGAUUUUUCGCAUUUCGAGCUUCUUUUUCUUUUUUUUUUUUAAUUUUUGUGAAAUAAACAGGAAUAAAUAGACCAUAUCUGAAGGUGUUGGCCAAAAACCCUGCGAUGCAUAAGUUAAUUCAAUUGGAUCUUUAAUAAAAGAUGUGGCAAUAGCCAAAAUGGAUGGAGUUUUCUCUCACGAGAAGAGCCGGAUGGGCUUAUGUGUGGGAGAGGAAG
Molecule: long non-coding RNA, 629 nt
Filed under: Prunus persica (peach)
Lineage: Eukaryota; Viridiplantae; Streptophyta; Magnoliopsida; Rosales; Rosaceae
Description: long non-coding RNA (PPER_LNC003718)
Source: RNAcentral